Molecule: ribosomal RNA, 430 nt
Filed under: uncultured bacterium
Lineage: Bacteria
Description: bacterial SSU rRNA
Rfam family: Bacterial small subunit ribosomal RNA
Source: RNAcentral
GGGCCCGCACAAGCGGUGGAGCAUGUGGUUUAAUUCGAUGAUACGCGAGGAACCUUACCAGGGCUUAAAUGGGAAAUGACAGGGGCAGAGACGCCCCCUUCUUCGGACAUUUUUCAAGGUGCUGCAUGGUUGUCGUCAGCUCGUGCCGUGAGGUGUCAGGUUAAGUCCUAUAACGAGCGCAACCCCUACCGUUAGUUGCCAGCGUGUAAUGACGGGGACUCUAACGGAACUGCCGGUGCAAACCGUGAGGAAGGUGGGGACGACGUCAAAUCAUCACGGCCCUUACGUCCUGGGCCACACACGUGCUACAAUGGUAGGUACAGAGGGAAGCCACCCCGCGAGGGGGAGCGGAUCUAUAAAACCUAUCUCAGUUCGGAUUGUCGUCUGCAACUCGACGGCAUGAAGUCGGAAUCGCUAGUAAUCGCGUAAC